UGGGAAGGAAAAGUUGUUGCCAUGGCAACUGCAGAUGCUAUGGCCCAUACUUUAUGGGUGAGGCUCGGGCAUCACGCGCAGGCCCCUGUGCCCUGUGCUGUGCCACAUGCUGUGCUCAGUGGCUGUGCCUGCCUGCUGUGCUGCUGGAAGUGUUACACACCACAGAAAUACUGGAGUAGCCUACUGUGAGAGAAGAAGAUUUCCAGGAGCUGCUGUGGUGGUCCAUGUGGCAAAGGGAUGGCACGAAACUUUGGAGACAAAAUGCAGGAUGGAAAAACAUAUAAAGAAGAAAGGCUCAGCGUAGACCUCAGUGACAUGCUAUUGACUGAAGGCAAGAGAAUGGGAGGUCAAUCCCUCUGACAGGACUUCAAGAAAAUAAUACUCAAGGCCAAUCCACAAAGUAGUAUUCUUGUGCAGCUGUAAUGUAACAAUUAAAAGAUAAGCUGUUUGAAGAUUGAGCAGCCAAGAAAAAUCAAAUUGAGAAAGAACGAAAUGGUCCAGAACAGCAAAACACGAUGAGCCAUGAUACAAA
This is a long non-coding RNA of Gallus gallus (chicken), 532 nucleotides long. RefSeq lists it as uncharacterized. The record is from RefSeq and is a predicted model, not a curated record. Lineage: Eukaryota; Metazoa; Chordata; Aves; Galliformes; Phasianidae. The transcript is spliced from 3 exons.